GUGUCAGCAGCCGCGGUAAGACGAACCGUGCGAACGUUGUUCGGAAUCACUGGGCUUAAAGGGCGCGUAGGCGGGCCGCCAAGUCCGCGGUGAAAUCCCCCGGCUCAACCGGGGAACUGCCGCGGAUACUGGAGGUCUCGAGGGGGGUAGGGGCAUGCGGAACUGCGGGUGGAGCGGUGAAAUGCGUUGAUAUCCGCAGGAACUCCGGUGGCGAAGGCGGCGUGCUGGACCCUUUCUGACGCUGAGGCGCGAAAGCCAGGGGAGCGAACGGGAUUAGAUACCCCGGUAGUCCUGGCCCUAAACGAUGGGAACUAGGUUGUAGGCUAGACAUGGGCUUACAGCCGAAGCAAAAGUGCUAAGUUCCCCGCCUGGGGAGUAUGGUCGCAAGGCUGAA
RNAcentral lists this ribosomal RNA (394 nucleotides) under uncultured bacterium. RNAcentral's name for it is "bacterial SSU rRNA". It matches the Rfam family "Bacterial small subunit ribosomal RNA", at positions 505 to 898 of the family's 1533-position model. The record is from RNAcentral.